RNAcentral lists this ribosomal RNA (301 nucleotides) under uncultured bacterium. RNAcentral describes it as "partial 16S ribosomal RNA". It matches the Rfam family "Bacterial small subunit ribosomal RNA", at positions 509 to 807 of the family's 1533-position model. The record is from RNAcentral.
CAGUAGCCACGGUAAUACAGAGGUCCCAAGCGUUGUUCGGAUUCACUGGGCGUAAAGGGUGCGUAGGCGGUUGGGUAAGUUUGACGUGAAAUCUCCGGGCCUAACCCGGAAACUGCGUUGAAUACUAUCCAGCUAGAGGAUUGGAAGGGAGACUGGAAUACUUGGUGUAGCAGUGAAAUGCGUAGAUAUCAAGUGGAACACCAGUGGCGAAGGCGAGUCUCUGGACAAUUCCUGACGCUGAGGCACGAAAGCCAGGGGAGCAAACGGGAUUAGAUACCCCGGUAGUCCCUGUCUCUUAUAC